Molecule: transfer RNA, 70 nt
Filed under: Galaxias maculatus (cowfish)
Lineage: Eukaryota; Metazoa; Chordata; Actinopteri; Galaxiiformes; Galaxiidae
Description: tRNA-Trp
Rfam family: tRNA
About the family: Transfer RNA (tRNA) molecules are approximately 80 nucleotides in length.
Source: RNAcentral
AGGGGCUUAGGAUAGCUCAGACCAGGAGCCUUCAAAGCUCCAAGCGGGGGUGAAAAUCCCUCAGCCCCUG